AGCAAGUGUUCAUUAGCAGCAAAACCAGCCAGUUUUUGUUCUCAUAUGAUUCAGGAGCUCAAGUGACUCCUCUGAAACUCUGGCAUAUAUCACAGACAAAAUUGGGUCAGAAGAGAGCACAGAGGUACUGAACUGAAAAGAGAUAAAUUCAUCUUUAGAAGAAAAAAGGAAGUCUCGAACUGCAAACUUGGGUUUAAUUUGUCUCCUCCACGUAAGGCACUGAUACACAUCUCUGGAGAGUACUUUCAGGCAGCCUGA
This 258-nucleotide long non-coding RNA is filed under the name Zonotrichia albicollis (white-throated sparrow). RNAcentral's name for it is "lncRNA (ENSZALG00000011211.1)". The record is from RNAcentral. Lineage: Eukaryota; Metazoa; Chordata; Aves; Passeriformes; Passerellidae.